AUUGCUUCUCAGCCUUUCAGCUAAGAGCAAACAUAGUAUCUGUUCUUACCAGUUUAAUAGAAAGGAAAUUUGGUAAAUAUUCCAUUUCUGAGCAUUUAGGAGAUAGUUUUGAGUGAUAAGAGCACUGGAAGAAAUAUGUACUCAGUUUACUCAGCCUGGGGACAUUUAAAGUCCU
Molecule: small nuclear RNA, 175 nt
Filed under: Catagonus wagneri (Chacoan peccary)
Lineage: Eukaryota; Metazoa; Chordata; Mammalia; Artiodactyla; Tayassuidae
Description: U2 spliceosomal RNA (ENSCWAG00000006442.1)
Rfam family: U2 spliceosomal RNA
About the family: U2 is a small nuclear RNA (snRNA) component of the spliceosome (involved in pre-mRNA splicing). Complementary binding between U2 snRNA (in an area lying towards the 5' end but 3' to hairpin I) and the branchpoint sequence (BPS) of the intron results the bulging out of an unpaired adenosine, on the BPS, which initiates a nucleophilic attack at the intronic 5' splice site, thus starting the first of two transesterification reactions that mediate splicing.
Source: Rfam by way of RNAcentral